Molecule: ribosomal RNA, 449 nt
Filed under: uncultured soil bacterium
Lineage: Bacteria
Description: bacterial SSU rRNA
Rfam family: Bacterial small subunit ribosomal RNA
Source: RNAcentral
AGAACGAACGCUGGCGGCAUGCCUAACACAUGCAAGUCGAACGAGACCUUCGGGUCUAGUGGCGCACGGGUGCGUAACGCGUGGGAAUCUGCCCUUGGGUUCGGGAUAACAGUUGGAAACGACUGCUAAUACCGGAUGAUGUCUUCGGACCAAAGAUUUAUCGCCCAAGGAUGAGCCCGCGUAGGAUUAGCUUGUUGGUGAGGUAAGAGCUCACCAAGGCGACGAUCCUUAGCUGGUCUGAGAGGAUGAUCAGCCACACUGGGACUGAGACACGGCCCAGACUCCUACGGGAGGCAGCAGUGGGGAAUAUUGGACAAUGGGCGAAAGCCUGAUCCAGCAAUGCCGCGUGAGUGAUGAAGGCCUUAGGGUUGUAAAGGCUCGUUUUACCCGGGAUGAUAAUGACAGUACCGGAGAAUAAGCCCCGGACUAACUCCGUGACCAGCAGCCGC